AGUGAACGCUGGCGGUAGGCCUAACACAUGCAAGUCGAACGGCAGCACAGUAAGAGCUUGCUCUUACGGGUGGCGAGUGGCGGACGGGUGAGGAAUACAUCGGAAUCUACUUUUUCGUGGGGGAUAACGUAGGGAAACUUACGCUAAUACCGCAUACGACCUACGGGUGAAAGCAGGGGAUCUUCGGGCCUUGCGCGAUUGAAUGAGCCGAUGUCGGAUUAGCUAGUUGGCGGGGUAAAGGCCCACCAAGGCGACGAUCCGUAGCUGGUCUGAGAGGAUGAUCAGCCACACUGGAACUGAGACACGGUCCAGACUCCUACGGGAGGCAGCAGUGGGGAAUAUUGGACAAAGGGCGCAAGCCUGAUCCAGCCAUACCGCGUGGGUGAAGAAGGCCUUCGGGUUGUAAAGACCUUUUGUUGGGAAAGAAAAGCAGCAGGUUAAUACCCCGCCGUUCUGACGGUACCCAAAGAAUAAGCACCGGCUAACUUCGUG
Molecule: ribosomal RNA, 492 nt
Filed under: uncultured bacterium
Lineage: Bacteria
Description: partial 16S ribosomal RNA
Rfam family: Bacterial small subunit ribosomal RNA
Source: RNAcentral